Molecule: ribosomal RNA, 253 nt
Filed under: uncultured bacterium
Lineage: Bacteria
Description: partial 16S ribosomal RNA
Rfam family: Bacterial small subunit ribosomal RNA
Source: RNAcentral
UACGUAGGGGGCUAGCGUUGUCCGGAAUCAUUGGGCGUAAAGCGCGCGUAGGCGGCCCGGUAAGUCCGCUGUAAAAGUCAAAGGCUCAACCUUUGAAUGUCAGUGGAUACUGCCGGGCUAGAGUCCGGAAGAGGAGAAUGGAAUUCCCGGUGUAGCGGUGAAAUGCGCAGAUAUCAGGAGGAACACCGGUGGCGAAGGCGGUUCUCUGGGCAUUACCUGACGCUGAGGAGCGAAAGUGUGGGGAGCGAACAGG